CUCCCUUCUUGCUUUUCCCCCUGUGCCCCUGUGUCCCCUGUCCCUGUGCUGGUCCGAGCUGGCGGCCGGGCCGGGCGGAGCAGCAGUUCCAGCCCCGGGUGUCCCUGGAGCGGUGGGAGCUGCCGGUGGCCCCAGGCAGGGUCCCCUGAGGAGCUGCUGAAGGACGCUGCCCUGCAGACCCUGAGGACAGGCGGAGACUGGCAGGAGGCAGCAGGGAGAAGCUGCAGGCCGGCAGCAGGAGCAGGGAGCAGGGAGCUGCUGCUGCCAGCCGAGAGGCCGGGAGAGCUGCUCUGCACGGGAGGAAGCAAGGACAGAGGGAAAGGCUUUGAAGAUGGGGC
This is a long non-coding RNA of Prinia subflava (tawny-flanked prinia), 338 nucleotides long. RefSeq lists it as uncharacterized. Lineage: Eukaryota; Metazoa; Chordata; Aves; Passeriformes; Cisticolidae. The record is from RefSeq and is a predicted model, not a curated record. The transcript is spliced from 3 exons.